UACGAAGGGGGCUAGCGUUGCUCGGAAUCACUGGGCGUAAAGCGCACGUAGGCGGCUUGUUAAGUCAGGGGUGAAAUCCUGGAGCUCAACUCCAGAACUGCCUUUGAUACUGGCGAUCUUGAGUCCGGGAGAGGUGAGUGGAACUCCGAGUGUAGAGGUGAAAUUCGUAGAUAUUCGGAAGAACACCAGUGGCGAAGGCGGCUCACUGGCCCGGUACUGACGCUGAGGUGCGAAAGCGUGGGGAGCAAACAGG
This 253-nucleotide ribosomal RNA is filed under the name uncultured bacterium. RNAcentral describes it as "partial 16S ribosomal RNA". It matches the Rfam family "Bacterial small subunit ribosomal RNA", at positions 524 to 776 of the family's 1533-position model. The record is from RNAcentral.